AUUGAACGCUGGCGGCAUGCUUUACACAUGCAAGUCGAACGAGUGGCGGACGGGUGAGUAAUGUAUCGGAAACUGCCCGAUGGAGGGGGAUAACUACUCGAAAGGGUGGCUAAUACCGCAUACUAUCGGAUGUGCCCAGAUGGGAUUAGCUAGUUGGUGGGGUAAAGGCUCACCAAGGCAACGAUCCGUAGCUGGUUUGAGAGGAUGACCAGCCACACUGGAACUGAGACACGGUCCAGACUCCUACGGGAGGCAGCAGUGGGGAAUAUUGGACAAUGGGCGAAAGCCUGAUGCAGCCAUGCCGCGUGUAUGAAGAAGGCCUUCGGGUUGUAAAGUACUUUCAGCAGGGAAGCGGUACUCGCAGAAUAAGCACCGGCUAACUCCGUGCCAGCAGCCGCGGUAAUUC
This 406-nucleotide ribosomal RNA is filed under the name uncultured bacterium. Its description in RNAcentral is "partial 16S ribosomal RNA". It matches the Rfam family "Bacterial small subunit ribosomal RNA", at positions 30 to 526 of the family's 1533-position model. The record is from RNAcentral.